RNAcentral lists this transfer RNA (20 nucleotides) under Duttaphrynus melanostictus (Asian common toad). RNAcentral describes it as "partial tRNA-Ile". The record is from RNAcentral. Lineage: Eukaryota; Metazoa; Chordata; Amphibia; Anura; Bufonidae.
GGAAAUGUGCCUGAAAGCUA